UAUAAAAGCAGUAAAAUAUUAAUAGUACCUUAAAUAAAUAAAAAGAUUUUCUGUUGCAACACAAUUUAGUAAAAGUAAAAGUUUUAAUUCUAAUACCCGAUAUAUUAAGAUCUACUAUUUAAUGUGUUCAUAAUGAGUUUAAAAUUAUUAUGAAUUUAAUAUUAGAAAUGAAAAAUUUUUCGAUUAGUUAUAGCUGGCUUUAAUUAUCUAAUUUUAUUUAAAAUAAUGAAGUUAUUUCUUUGUUCUUUAAUAAGAGAAAGUUUUAUUAAAAAAAUUUUUUAAAAAUAAAAUUUAUUAAUAAGAUUAAUAUUAUCAUUAAUACUUUAUAAUCAAAAUAUUUAUAAAAAUAUUUAAACUUUUUAAAAAAUUUUAAUAAAUUAAAGUUCUAAAAAUUAUAUUAUAUUUAUUAUUCUAAAAUUAGUAGAAUUAAAUUUUUAAUUUAUGUUUUUAUUAAUAUUAAAAAAAUUAAAAUUAAAAAUAGUAAAAAAUUUAACAAAAAUUUUUUAAAAAGUUUAAAUAUUUUUAUAAAUAUCUGCCCUAUGAAAAUUUUAAAUGGCCGCAGUAUUAUGACUGUGCUAAGGUAGCGUAAUCAUUUGUAGCUUAAUUGGUUAAUUGGAUGAUAGAUAAUUUAACUAUUUUUAUUAAAAUUUUUAAAAAUUGAAUUUGUUGUAAAAGUGAAAAAACUUUUAUAUUUAAAAAGAAGGAAAGACCCUAAAAUUUAUUCUAAAUAUAUUAGUUAAUUGGGGCAUUUAAGGCUAAAUUAAAAAUUACCUUUUUGAUCCAAAUUUAGUUUGAAAUAAGUAAAAGUUACUUUAGGGUUAACAGCGUAAUAUUUUUAUAAAGAUCUUAUUUAUAAAUAUGUUUACGACCUCGAUGUUGAAUUAUUUUACUAAAACACGCAAUAGUGUUAUUAAGUUAGUCUGUUCGACUAUUAAAUAAAUCCACGAUUUGAGUUCAGAUCGACGAAAGUCAGAUCAGUUCCUAUCUUUUAAUUUUUCAAUAAUAGAAUUAGUACGAAAGGACCAUUUUAUUUUU
This 1035-nucleotide ribosomal RNA is filed under the name Chordodes sp. VVA-2019. RNAcentral describes it as "large subunit ribosomal RNA". The stretch from base 818 to 976 matches the Rfam family "Archaeal large subunit ribosomal RNA", at positions 2544 to 2703 of the family's 2987-position model. The record is from RNAcentral. Lineage: Eukaryota; Metazoa; Nematomorpha; Gordioida; Chordodea; Chordodidae.